CUGCUGCCUCCCGUAGGAGUUUGGGCCGUGUCUCAGUCCCAAUGUGGCCGGUCCACCCUCUCAGGCCGGCUACUGAUCGCUGCCUGGUGGGCCGUUACCCCGCCAACUAGCUAAUCAGACGCGGAUCCAUCGUAUACACCGGAGUUUUUCACACUGCCCCAUGCGGAGCCGUGCGCUUAUGCGGUAUUAGCACCCUAUUUCUAAGUGUUAUCCCCCGGUAUACGGCAGGUUAUCCACGCGUUACUCACCCGUCCGCCA
This 258-nucleotide ribosomal RNA is filed under the name uncultured bacterium. Its description in RNAcentral is "partial 16S ribosomal RNA". The record is from RNAcentral.